This 330-nucleotide ribosomal RNA is filed under the name uncultured bacterium. Its description in RNAcentral is "bacterial SSU rRNA". It matches the Rfam family "Bacterial small subunit ribosomal RNA", at positions 28 to 361 of the family's 1533-position model. The record is from RNAcentral.
GAUGAACGCUAGCGGCAGGCCUAACACAUGCAAGUCGAGGGGUAGAGUUCUUCGGGACUUGAGACCGGCGCACGGGUGCGUAACGCGUAUGCGAUCUACCUUAUACAGGGGAAUAGCCCCAGAGAAAUUUGGAUUAAUGCCCCAUAGUGUUAUCGAAUCGCAUGGUUUGAUAACUAAAGUUCCAACGGUAUAAGAUGAGCAUGCGUCCAUUAGUUAGUUGGUAAGGUAACGGCUUACCAAGACAAUGAUGGGUAGGGUCCUGAGAGGGAGAUCCCCCANACUGGUACUGAGACACGGACCAGACCUCCUACGGGAGGCAGCAGUGAGGAA